CCAUAGUCAACCGCCGCCGUGGAGUCUUCCAACGUCUCCGAUCAAAAAACAACUCUCAGACAAUUUUCCGAUCUAAAGGAAGCCGAAGUGCUCCGGAAUCGACGGAUCCAAUUCCCAAAUAAAUUCGCGAGAACGAAGAAGGAAAUAGAAUCAGGGACGAGCUCGAUCGCUGAAGCAAGAAUCGAGGGAAAACCGCUCGGAUCUGGGAAAUGGGCGAGGGAUUUCAACGAUACGCACCGCGAUCCAAAGAGCUUUCUCCUGAGAAAAAAGCAACCAAACUGAAAUCCAACACCGCCGCCGGAGAAGGAGAUCAGCGAACAGGCAGCAAGCCAAUAAUCCGCCAUUUUUUUACCUUCGGAGAAAAUAGAAGGCGGCGACGACGACGACAAGUCCCUUCCGUUCGUUUGGGAUCCUUCCACAAAGCUACAUUGACGAUUAGCUUCCUGUAGGCUGUCGGAGGUCCUUUUGGAGGUCUUCUCUUGGAUUCUGCAAUCUUCCACGGCCGUCGGUCGUCGGAGUCGAAGCUCUUCUUGAUAUUUGGGAAUUUGGAUAGUGCAGGGUGUUAUUUGGGAAAUUCUGAAAGAUAAGUGCCUCAAAAAAAAAUAAAUUUCACUAAUUUCUUUUGCCCGAUCUGAUCUACUCUCGUCUUCCUCGAUCCCAGCGGCCAGCGGGCGACGAGUAACCAGCGGUAUUGGCCGGCCGGCCAGCGAACUUCUACGGGGGAAGCGAUCCCUCCUCCGUCCUCGUUGGUAAACCCUCCGCCACCUCCUCUAUUUCCUUUUUCUUCUAUAUCGCCUUGGAUUUGUAUCGCUUCAUCAGCAGCCAAAACGGAGAAAUCGGUGGAUUCCUUAGGGUUCGUCUUCGCCAAUCCCUAACCGGGAGAAAGAUUGAUCUCCAACCCCUUCUCAUUUCAAAGAUUUACUCAAACCCUAGCGAAUGGAGCAACCGAGCAUCGUCCAGGCUCUUCCGGCCGAGCAACCGAGGAUCGUCCGGGUUCUGCCAAGGGAGCAACUACACAUUAUCCAGGCUCUGCCGGCCACUCCUAGGAAACAAAAGGAGCGCAUCGCCGGAGCCACUGCAAGCAGCAACUUUCCGUCGCCGACCGGCACUUCUCGAUGCACUCGCUUGCAGGCCGCCCCUGACUGGUCCACUUACGAUACGCUUGUCCUUCUCAACGAGAUCGCUUCCAUGGACGAGGACUGGCUCAAGGCGCUCUCCUCGUACCAGAAGUGGAAGAUGAUCGCGGACAACUGUGCCGCCUCGAACGUCGUACGAUCCUCCCACCAGUGCAAGAGGCGGUGGAAGUCGCUGCUCUCUGCCCACUCGAAGAUCAGGGAGUGGGAGUUCAAGCAUGGUGAGGGAUCCUACUGGAGCUUGGAUAGUGAGAAGAAGAAGCACUUGCUAGGGCUCCCGUACAUGCUCGACCAGGAAGUGUUCAGUGCCAUGGAUGCAGUUAUUAGGCCGCAGGAGGGUCAGGCUGUGUUGGUCGAUAUGGAGGUGGAGGGCAUCAUCAUGGCUGCCAAUGGUUUGCAAGAGCUACCUGUGGCCGCAGAGACAGAAAUGCUGGAUGUUACUGAUGCUCCAGAAUCUCAACUUUCAGGUUCCAAAGAGAAUAUAGAAGAUGAGAAUCAAGAUAAAGAAAACUUAGAAAAGGCGAGAAUUAUGAUGAGUAAGCUGCAUGAGAAUGCUCAGCAGAUACAUGUCAUUCUGAAACAUGAGCUAGAAGAUAAUCUUGGUGUGAAUCCUGCUCUGGUGGAUUUGGCAUACCCUAGCGAUGCAAUGAGGUUGCAAGCAGAUCAGUUAAUCAAAGCUCUGAGGAGCCUUGUUGGUCCUCUGAACCAGUUCACAGAGCUGAUCAAGGCGGUCGGUUAUGAAGGCAUUCAACCUAUAUGAGUCCAUGAUAUGCAAUGCGAUGCCACUUUGUCAAAGUUUUGGUUGCAUUACCUCACACUUUGUCCUGAUCAGGUUUCCUCCAAAUUCAAUACACAACUUUAGUUAUAUAUGGAUUUGCAAGAACACUGUUUGGAUUAUCCUCACAUAUACAUAUGAGAACAACUUCAGAGGACACCAUGCUUCUAAUCAGCAUUUGUAAACAAGUACACUGAACUCUGCGACUAUUUCAAUAGAUUUCUUGCCAUUUUGCUGCAGCAUCACACUACGAUGAAUCUUGCGACCAUUUUCAUAGAAUCAACAUCAAUCAUUCAUCGUGAACGAUCACACUGUCGAUGAGUGAUGAGUCCUGUGGCUAUUUUGAUAGGUAAGCAUUUCUCUCUAUAAAAAAAACUCCUCUUUAGACACCUGCUUUGUUGUUGGUUCAUCUGGUAACUUGAUCUUGAUGCAAAAUUAGCAUUCACCUCAAAUUUCUUGCCAUUCGAUCUUUUGUUUCUGGAUUUCCUACGACAUGAUGACUCUCUUUGCUUUAUCUGUUCCCUUGUUUGCGACUUAUCAUAUACUUUUUACUGUGGAAUGGGAUUGCAAGUUAAUGUCCUAA
Zingiber officinale is the source of this 2491-nucleotide RNA transcript. It is a transcript of the gene named trihelix transcription factor ASR3-like, with no coding region annotated. The transcript has 5 exons. Lineage: Eukaryota; Viridiplantae; Streptophyta; Magnoliopsida; Zingiberales; Zingiberaceae. The record is from RefSeq and is a predicted model, not a curated record.